CUCCCUCUGUCUCUGACCCUCCCCCGUUCAUGCUCUGUCUCUUUCUGUCUCAAAAAUAAAUAAACGUUAAAAAAAAUAAAAUAAAAAAAAUUAAAAUAAAAAAAAAUAAAAGCAGGUCAUUGAUCUGUUUACAUGCCAUUGUUACAUCAUAUGUGGUAAGUUGUUAAAGCAUAUAACUGCACUCAUAUUGUAAGGAAUAAAUUGUAUUUCUAUGAGGAAGCAAAUUCGUUCCAUUCAUAGUUGGAAAUUAUAUAAUUUCCUUGAGUAUAAAUUUUACUGCUAUGGCAACUGUAAACCAAAUUUAUAAGGUAAGGCUGCACCGUUACUAGUAAGGCAGACUGGAAGGAGGUGACACAGCACGCCCGGAGGUGGGUCUGACCAUUGAGGGAGAGCCGGCUGGUAACAGAGUCUGUGACCCACCUAGACCACUCCUGUGUUCCUCCAGGGCUAGGACACGAGUCGGCCCAGGGCCCCGAGUCAAAGCUUCUCUGGUAGAAGAGAGAUCAGUUUCAGAGAGCGGUGAAUGCCUAGGGAAGACUUGGAAACGAGAGAGUAAAUACUUCCAAGAAGUUUCACUUUGAAGAGGAAGAGAAAGCAGGGUCUGCAACUACGGAGGAAUAAGGGAGCCAAGCUUGGCUUCAUUUUUCCCUGUUAUAAAUGGACU
This 664-nucleotide long non-coding RNA is filed under the name Felis catus (domestic cat). RNAcentral describes it as "lncRNA (ENSFCAG00000051563.1)". The record is from RNAcentral. Lineage: Eukaryota; Metazoa; Chordata; Mammalia; Carnivora; Felidae.